RNAcentral lists this ribosomal RNA (449 nucleotides) under uncultured bacterium. Its description in RNAcentral is "bacterial SSU rRNA". It matches the Rfam family "Bacterial small subunit ribosomal RNA", at positions 354 to 796 of the family's 1533-position model. The record is from RNAcentral.
GUGGGGAAUUGUUCGCAAUGGGCGCAAGCCUGACGACGCAACGCCGCGUGGAGGAUGAAGGUCUUCGGAUUGUAAACUCCUGUUGAUCGGGACGAAAAGCUUUGACCUAACACGUCAAAGACUGACGGUACCGGUUGAGGAAGCCACGGCUAACUCUGUGCCAGCAGCCGCGGUAAUACAGAGGUGGCAAGCGUUGUUCGGAAUUACUGGGCGUAAAGGGCGCGUAGGCGGCCUUCUAAGUCGGACGUGAAAGCCCCAGGCUUAACCUGGGAACUGCGUCCGAUACUGGAAGGCUUGGAUUCGGGAGAGGGAUGUGGAAUUCCAGGUGUAGCGGUGAAAUGCGUAGAUAUCUGGAGGAACACCGGUGGCGAAGGCGGCAUCCUGGACCGAGAUCGACGCUGAGGCGCGAAAGCUAGGGGAGCAAACGGGAUUAGAAACCCCAGUAGUCC